Molecule: long non-coding RNA, 199 nt
Filed under: Lathyrus oleraceus (garden pea)
Lineage: Eukaryota; Viridiplantae; Streptophyta; Magnoliopsida; Fabales; Fabaceae
Description: Pisum sativum (pea) long non-coding RNA (PSAT_LNC019390)
Source: RNAcentral
UCACACCACAUGUGUUGAUGCAUAGUGGGUAAAAACCCAAGAUCUAUAGAGUCUAAUCUGUGGAGAGAGUUCCAUCUUUCUGAACUCCCACACCUUCUGAUAUUCAAAUGCUCUCCCUGACCAGGGAUAAGAGCAAUGAGGCACACCCCUCAUAUCCUUUCAUCUGCUUCACCUUAGCCCCUCAAUGGCAAGGUUAAGA